GCCGCGGUGGCGGAAUUGGUAUACGCGCUGGUCUCAAACACCAGUGAGCUUAUGUUCAUGAGGGUUCGACUCCCUCCCGCGGCA
This 84-nucleotide transfer RNA is filed under the name Actinomycetes bacterium. RNAcentral describes it as "Actinobacteria bacterium tRNA-Leu". It matches the Rfam family "tRNA". From Rfam's summary of the family: Transfer RNA (tRNA) molecules are approximately 80 nucleotides in length. Their secondary structure includes four short double-helical elements and three loops (D, anti-codon, and T loops). The record is from RNAcentral. Lineage: Bacteria; Bacillati; Actinomycetota; Actinomycetes.